GAAACGCAGUAGGAGGAGUGACGGGAACCGGGAGCCGGCUCCAUGCGCCUGGAGCGCGCGGGUCCCAGCGCCCAUCGGCCCGGGGUCCGAGGGGCCCGCUGCCCGGGCUCGCUGCGUGGUGCUACCGCCCCCGGGCCCGCUGCGCCGCGUCGGAGCCCCAGCAGACUUUGAGAGGCGUGUGCGACAGUGCGCGUCCUCUCCUGCCUCUGGAUGUUUCCUUGGAGCCUCUGGCCUUCGGGAAGACCGGUGCCAUCCAGAUUCCAACAGUGACUUUUAGCUCUGAGAAGUCCAAUACUACAGCCCUGGCUGAGUUCGGAAAAUACAUUCAUAAAGUGCCACUGGGUUAGAGUCUCCCCGACCAAGCUGGUCUCAGCAAGUGGUCUCCAUCAUGGGGGCUCGAAUCCAGGUUGAAGGGUCACCAGAGUGAUGGUUGGAGAACAUGGAACUAGCUGGAGGACACCUGAGUACUCUUAAAGCAAACCCCGUGGCCAAAAUCAAUAACCAAUUUGGAUACCAUCAAGACACCUGAAACCUUAUCAUGAGCCAGAUGCUGAGGAAGAGAUUCCAGGAGGAUCCUGAGGACCCCCUGGUUGCAGCCACGUCGAGGCUGACACUGAGGAGGACCCCAACUGUCAUGAGCAACACCCGUCGAACACAGCCAUCCACCUGGGGACAAAUCAAGAAGCUGUCACAGAUGAUGGAAGAAAACCUGAGGAAAGCGGGACAACCAAUCACAAUGAGUAAUUUGGUGAUCUAUCACAGUGAUGAUCACCAUUGCCAUGAGUAUUCCUUCAACAAGGGCUGACACAGAGAACAAUUAUACUUAUUGGGCAUAUUUAUCAAUCUUGUCUGGCAAUAAUGCCUAGAUGAUUUCACUCUAUGGCACAGUUACACAUGCUUUCUGAUCUCAGUAUUUACCAUAAUAAAUCUGCUCCUAUAAUUGAGGCAUACCACCCUCAAAAACCUAUUUGUAAACAAAAUAGAACCUGGCCAGAAAUAAUGAACAACUUGUUUAGUAAGAUUGCAUUGCAGAACAGGCAGAGAUGCUACGCAAUGAUUCCUAUGGGAUCAUUGAUUGGUCCCCUAAGGGGAUGUUUAGCUUAAAUUGCACCUCUCAGUCUGCAUGCCAUGGCCACACUAGUUCAGAUGGUCUGAACAAAGUGGUCAGAUGGCAGAAAUGAUAAGAAGUAUGGCAAAAGUUCCUAUUGUCUGGAACCAUGGCAGUAUAGUGUCACCUCAACCUCAAAUGAUAUGGCUCAUUGUAGGAGCUAAACAUAAGGAUUUGUGGAAACUAUUAAUAGCUCUUAAUAAGAUCAAAAUUUGGGAAAGAAUAAAAAAAGCAUCUAGAAAGACACUCUACAAACUUGUCUUUGGAUAUUACAAAAUUAAAAGAACAAAUAUUUAAAGCAUCCCAGGUACACCUGACCUUAAUGACAGAAACUGGAGUGCUUGAAGGAGCUGCAGACAGAUUAGCAGCUAGUAACCCAUUAAAAUGGAUAAAAACACUUGGAAGCUCUGUGAUUUCAAUGAUGAUUGUGCUUUUAAUCGGUAUUGUUUGUCUUUGUAUAGUGUGCAGAUGUGGAUCCUGACUCCUGUGAGAAGUAGCUCACAGUGUCAAAGCUGCCUUUGCUUUUAUCGAUUUGCAAAUCAAAUAAGGGGGACAUAUUGGGAACAGCACCCCCCCCCCCAAAAUCUGGCCAUAAACUGGUCCCAAAACUGGCCAUAAACAAAAUCUCUGCAGCACUGACAUGUUCAUGAUGGUCUUAAUGCCCACGCUGGAAGGUUGUGGGUUUACCAGAAUGAGAGCAAGGAACACCUGGCCCACCCAGGGUGGAAAACCACUUAAAGGCAUUCUUAAACCACAAACAAUAGCAUGAGUGAUCUGUGCCUUAAGGCUGUGCUACUGCUGCAGAUAACUAGCCCAACCCAUCCCUUUAUUUCAGCCCAUCCCUUCGUUUCCCAUAAGGGAUACUUUUAAUUAAUCUAAUAUGUAUAGAAAGAAUGCUAAUGACUGGCUUGCUGUUAAUAAAUAACGUGGGUAAAUCUCUGUUGGAGGCUCUCAGCUCUGAAGGCUGUGAGACCCCGGAUUUCCCACUUCACACCUCUGUAUUUCUGUGUGUCUGUCUUUAAUUCCUUUAGCACCACUGGGUUAGGGUCUCCCCGACCGAGCUGGUCUUUGCACUUCUCACUUCUGGAUAUAGGCCUCCCUAGAGGGUUUUUUUUUUCUUUUUUGAUAGGAUCUUGCUCUUUCAUCCAGGCUGGUGUGCUGUAGUGUAUUCAUGGCUUGCUGCAGUCUUGAUCUCCCAGACUCAAGUAAUCCUCCCAUCUCAGCCUCCUGAAUAGCUAGGACCACAGGCCUGUGCCACCAUGUCUGGCUACUUUAAUUUUUUUUCCCUUAGAGACAGAGUCUCACUAUGUUGCCCAGGCUGGUCUCACAUUCCUGCACUCGUCAUCUUCCUGCCUUGGCCUUCCAAAGUGCUGAGAUUACAGGCAUGAAACACUACACCUGGCCAUCCCUGGAGUAUUUCUUCCUUCCUUCCUUCCUUGCUUCCUUCCUUCCUUUUUUCUUUUCCUCCCUCCCUCUCUCUUUCUUUCUUUGUUUCUUUUUCUCCCUUUCUUCCUUUCUUUCUUUCUUUUCUUUCUUUCUUCCUUCCUUUCUUUUUCUUUCUCUCUUUCUUUCUUCUUUCCUUCCUCCUUCCCUCCUUCCCUCCCCUCCCUCCCCCUCCCCUCCCUUCCUUCCUUCCUUCUUUCCUUCCUUCCUUCCUUUCUUCCUUCCUUCUUUCCUGUCUUAUUUCAAAACACAUGUCUUC
This 2810-nucleotide long non-coding RNA is filed under the name Homo sapiens (human). RNAcentral's name for it is "HSALNT0020592". Lineage: Eukaryota; Metazoa; Chordata; Mammalia; Primates; Hominidae. The record is from RNAcentral.